AUUGAACGCUGGCGGCAUGCCUUACACAUGCAAGUCGAACGGCAGCGGGGGAGAAGCUUGCUUUUCCUGCCGGCGAGUGGCGAACGGGUGAGUAAUACAUCGGAGCGUGCCCUGUAGUGGGGGAUAACUAGUCGAAAGAUUAGCUAAUACCGCAUACGACCUGAGGGUGAAAGUGGGGGACCGCAAGGCCUCAUGCUAUAGGAGCGGCCGGUGUCUGAUUAGCUAGUUGGUGGGGUAAAGGCCUACCAAGGCGACGAUCAGUAGCUGGUCUGGGAGGACGAUCAGCCACACUGGGACUGAGACACGGCCCAGACUCCUACGGGAGGCAGCAGUGGGGAAUUUUGGACAAUGGGCGAAAGCCUGAUCCAGCAAUGCCGCGUGUGUGAAGAAGGCCUUCGGGUUGUAAAGCACUUUUGUCCGGAAAGAAAUGGCUCUGGUUAAUACCUGGGGUCGAUGACGGUACCGGAAGAAUAAGGACCGGCUAACUACGUGCCAGCAGCCGCGGUAA
RNAcentral lists this ribosomal RNA (508 nucleotides) under uncultured bacterium. RNAcentral's name for it is "partial 16S ribosomal RNA". It matches the Rfam family "Bacterial small subunit ribosomal RNA", at positions 30 to 523 of the family's 1533-position model. The record is from RNAcentral.